GCUAAAAUACAAAAUAGGAAAAUUCCAUGUAGAAUCCUUCAGAAAAUGCACGUUUUCAGAGUUACUUCCCCUUAAAAUGCCAAAUUAAAAAAAAAUAAAAACAAUCAAAAAUAAUCAAUAUUUGCAAAAAUAUUUAAUAAUUAUAAGUUAUAUUCUUAUAAAUUGGUUCUUUUAAAUGAACAUUCACAUUUAAAAUUUUCAUUCCUGCAUCAAAUUUUGCUAAUUUGAUAGAAAAUCUGCACCUUUGGUUCUCUGUUUUUCACAAUCCAAGAUGGAGGAAGACACCCAUACCACC
Molecule: long non-coding RNA, 295 nt
Filed under: Mytilus galloprovincialis (Mediterranean mussel)
Lineage: Eukaryota; Metazoa; Mollusca; Bivalvia; Mytilida; Mytilidae
Source: RNAcentral